CCUACGGGAGGCAGCAGUGGGGAGUAUUGGACAAUGGGCGAAAGCCUGAUCCAGCAAUGCCGCGUGUGUGAAGAAGGCCUUCGGGUUGUAAAAUCCUUUUCAGGGGGAAGAGCGAGGACGGUACCCCUGGAAUAAGCGUCGGCUAACUACGUGCCAGCAAGCCGCGGUAAAUU
This 173-nucleotide ribosomal RNA is filed under the name uncultured bacterium. Its description in RNAcentral is "partial 16S ribosomal RNA". It matches the Rfam family "Bacterial small subunit ribosomal RNA", at positions 338 to 526 of the family's 1533-position model. The record is from RNAcentral.